UGGCGGUGUGUCUAAUACAUGCAAGUCGAACGGCCUUUUAUUAGGCAGUGGCGAACGGGUGCGUAACACGUUGGAUCUGCCCCAGACUCAGGGAUAACAUGCCGAAAGGUGUGCUAAUACCGGAUGGUCCCGCGAGGGUAAAGCUUUUGCGGUCUGGGAGGAACCUGCGGCCUAUCAGCUUGUUGGUAAGGUAACGGCUUACCAAGGCUAUGACGGGUAGCCGGUCUGAGAGGAUGAUCAGCCACAAUGGAACUGCGACACGGUCCAUACUCC
Molecule: ribosomal RNA, 273 nt
Filed under: unidentified marine bacterioplankton
Lineage: Bacteria
Description: partial 16S ribosomal RNA
Rfam family: Bacterial small subunit ribosomal RNA
Source: RNAcentral